Molecule: ribosomal RNA, 1492 nt
Filed under: uncultured bacterium
Lineage: Bacteria
Description: partial 16S ribosomal RNA
Rfam family: Bacterial small subunit ribosomal RNA
Source: RNAcentral
AGAGUUUGAUCCUGGCUCAGAACGAACGCUGGCGGCGUGCUUAACACAUGCAAGUCGAACGCGAAAGGGACUUCGGUCCCGAGUAGAGUGGCGCACGGGUGAGUAGCGCGUAAGUAAAUCUACCCCCUGUAUUCGGAUACCCCACCGAAAGGUGAGCUAAUACCGGAUACGUUUAUCUUGAUGCGAAUGAUGAUAAAGAAAGGUGGCCUCUUCUUGAAAGCUACUGUACAGGGACGAGCUUGCGUACCAUUAGCUAGUUGGUAGGGUAACGGCCUACCAAGGCUACGAUGUCUAGGGGUUCUGAGAGGAUGAUCCCCCACACUGGUACUGAGACACGGACCAGACUCCUACGGGAGGCAGCAGUGAGGAAUAUUGCGCAAUGGGGGAAACCCUGACGCAGCAACGCCGCGUGAAGGAUGAAGGUUUUCGGAUUGUAAACUUCUUUGAUCAGGGAAUAAGCUUGACGGUACCCCAAAAACAAGCCACGGCUAACUACGUGCCAGCAGCCGCGGUAAUACGUAGGUGGCGAGCGUUGUCCGGAAUUACUGGGUGUAAAGGGCGUGUAGGCGGGAAUGCAAGUCAGAUGUGAAAUGCCGAGGCUUAACCUCGGAGCUGCAUCUGAAACUGUGUUUCUUGAGUGUCGGAGAGGAAAGUGGAAUUCCCAGUGUAGCGGUGAAAUGCGUAGAUAUUGGGAGGAACACCGGUGGCGAAGGCGGCUAUCUGGACCGAUACUGACGCUGAGACGCGAAAGCGUGGGGAGCAAACAGGAUUAGAUACCCUGGUAGUCCACGCCGUAAACGAUGGGUACUAGGUGUAGGGGGUAUCGACCCCUUCUGUGCCGCAGUUAACGCAAUAAGCACUCCGCCUGGGGAGUACGGCCGCAAGGGUGAAACUCAAAGGAAUUGACGGGGGCCCGCACAAGCAGCGGAGCAUGUGGUUUAAUUCGAAGCAACGCGAAGAACCUUACCAAGACUUGACAUCCCUCUGACCCAUUCUUAAUCGAAUGCUCUCUUCGGAGCAGAGGUGACAGGUGGUGCAUGGUUGUCGUCAGCUCGUGUCGUGAGAUGUUGGGUUAAGUCCCGCAACGAGCGCAACCCUUGUCAUUAGUUGCCAGCAGUUCGGCUGGGCACUCUAGUGAGACUGCCGGGGAUAACUCGGAGGAAGGUGGGGAUGACGUCAAAUCAUCAUGCCCCUUAUGUUUUGGGCUACACACGUGCUACAAUGGCAUAUACAAAGAGCAGCGACAUCGCGAGGUGAAGCGAAUCCUCAAAAAUAGUCCCAGUUCAGAUUGUGGGCUGCAACCCGCCCACAUGAAGUCGGAAUUGCUAGUAAUGGCAGGUCAGCAUACUGCCGUGAAUACGUUCCCGGGCCUUGUACACACCGCCCGUCACACCAUGAGAGUUGGUAACACCCGAAGUCAGUAGUCUAACCGCAAGGAGGGCGCUGCCGAAGGUGGGGCCGAUGAUUGGGGUGAAGUCGUAACAAGGUAACC